RNAcentral lists this ribosomal RNA (464 nucleotides) under Burkholderia sp. oral taxon 406. RNAcentral's name for it is "bacterial SSU rRNA". It matches the Rfam family "Bacterial small subunit ribosomal RNA", at positions 30 to 482 of the family's 1533-position model. Lineage: Bacteria; Pseudomonadati; Pseudomonadota; Betaproteobacteria; Burkholderiales; Burkholderiaceae. The record is from RNAcentral.
AUUGAACGCUGGCGGCAUGCCUUACACAUGCAAGUCGAACGGCAGCAUGAUCUAGCUUGCUAGAUUGAUGGCGAGUGGCGAACGGGUGAGUAAUACAUCGGAACGUGCCCUGUAGUGGGGGAUAACUAGUCGAAAGAUUAGCUAAUACCGCAUACGACCUGAGGGUGAAAGUGGGGGACCGCAAGGCCUCAUGCUAUAGGAGCGGCCGAUGUCUGAUUAGCUAGUUGGUGAGGUAAAGGCUCACCAAGGCGACGAUCAGUAGCUGGUCUGAGAGGACGAUCAGCCACACUGGGACUGAGACACGGCCCAGACUCCUACGGGAGGCAGCAGUGGGGAAUUUUGGACAAUGGGGGCAACCCUGAUCCAGCAAUGCCGCGUGUGUGAAGAAGGCCUUCGGGUUGUAAAGCACUUUUGUCCGGAAAGAAAUCGCACUUACUAAUAUUAGGUGUGGAUGACGUACCGAA